Molecule: ribosomal RNA, 700 nt
Filed under: bacterium
Lineage: Bacteria
Description: bacterial SSU rRNA
Rfam family: Bacterial small subunit ribosomal RNA
Source: RNAcentral
AUCCGCCUGGGAAGUACGGCCGCAAGGCUAAAACUCAAAGGAAUAGACGGGGACUUGCACAAGCAGUGGAUUAUGUGGUUUAAUUCGAUGGUAAACGAAGAACCUUACCAGGGUUAGAACUCUACUUGAAAGCUCUAAGAAACUAGAGCCCUCGCAAGACAAGUGGACAGGUGAUGCAUGGCCGUCGUCAGUUCGUGGUUUGAAUUGUACCCUUAAGUGGGCUAACGAACGCAACCCUCGUUGUGUGUUACAAGUGUCACACGAGACCGCCCUCCCCUUUGCGCAAGAGCGCAAAGGGGCGCAGAAUUACGCUGACUUCACGCUGAUUUACGCAGAAGUAAAUGCAAUUGUAUUUUGUCUGCGACAGUCUGCGUCCAGUCUGCGAUUGUCCGCGCCCCUUUGUUCGUUCUCGAACAAAGGGGAGGGAGGAAGGAGAGGAUGACGCCAGGUCAGCAUGUCCCUUUGAUACCCUGGGCUACACACAUAAUACAAUGACCGCUACAACGCGCAGCGACGAGGCGACUCUGAGCUAAUCGUCAAAAGCGGCCUCAGUUCGGAUUGGAGUCUGAAACUCGACUCCAUGAAGCUGGAAUUGCUAGUAAUCACAGGUCAGCUAAACUGUGGUGAAUACGUUCUCAAGUCUUGUACUCACAAAUAAGUGCGCCCGGCAGCGUAUAAAACUAAGUGGUUAAAAUCCACU